AGCAUUUAAUAAGGUAGCUUUCUUUCCUCUGGCUUUUGCCUCUUUCUGGGGCAGCCAGGCAUGAUCAGUGAGGGGUGAGCUGAUGGCUGUCAGUGCCCCGAUCUUUCUGGUCCCCAUUCAAACACAGCCUGCAGAAAGUUCCCAGGCAACUCUGCAACUCCCUGUGGAGAAGCGAGCCAGCAGCUGUGCCCUCUGGGCCUCAGUUUCCCCCUUGCUGCACUAAGAACACGAAGGCUUGGCCUGCCCCUCUUGGCUCCUGCUCAGGUCUGAGUCUCUAAAGCUCCAUGACAGGCUGUGACACACUUGCUUCUGCCUUCGGCUAUCAGCGGCCAUCUGGCAAUUAGCAGUCUCUGAGGCAGCUAAUCCCACUCUGAGCUGGAUUAAAGCUGAAGUUUAAAACAUGGAGAUAGGCAGGUGAUUUCGGUUUGAGUCUUUGGGUCCUGCUGUCCCUGGCAGCCUGAUGAUGGAGGACAGAAAAGCUGCUUUCCUCUCUUAUCUCUCUCGGGAGACUCAGAGGAGGCAGAGCAGCUUUCUGGAGGGGCAUCUUGGGCUGGGUGACCUGCUCCAGCUGAGGAUGGUGCCAGAGUUUCAAGUUGGCUACAAAACUACUUAAUAAAUCACGACGCAUAAAUAAGAAGUUAGAACAAAAGAAGAAAGGGAAGAGCUAACUGGACACAUGAGAUUCUCCGGGAAUGAGACCAAAACUUGAAACUUUAAAGACCUACCGCGGUGGCUUGGACACAUUUUAUAGCAGGUGCUAUCAAAAGAAAAGCAACUGGGUUGUUACACAAUCCAAAUCAUCUCUCCAGAAAAACAGAACAAUUAUUUUGGAGAAAAACAACCAUUUCACUUUCUAACCUGGAGGUUAAUUUCUCUUAAAGGAAAGUAUGUGGUGCAGUGUAUUUUUGUUUUGUUUUGUUUUUUGACUUUUUAAAACGUAUGGCCUUUUUGGUGGCAAUAAAACUUCAUCCUUCCACUGAGAAUACUGAUGCACAGAAAAUGUAUUCUAGGUUCUAUAUACUCUCAUUAACUGGGACAGUUUUGUUGACCUUUACCCGAUUAUAGAUAAAAUGAAUACUACUUUAAGUCCUCUAAUUCUGCAGAGACUCUUACACAUCUUCCUUCCACAGAGCAUGGCAUCUCUUCUCUUUGGGCAACCGUCAUAGUAAUAAUUAACUUGGUCAAGAAUCAUCAACAGAUGUUGAAACUGUUGGGAGAAAAUUUGAUGGGCAACUGGAAAUCUGCUUAAUCUCAAAAUAGUUGCAGCUAUUAAAAAGGGGAAAAAGUAAUUUAUGAGUGAUAUCACUUUUGCCUAGUGAUCAAAGCUCUCACCAUUUACAAGAUAAGUUUUAGUACCCCCUCCUAAUACAGUGCACUUGGGAAGAUGCGUCACACUGUGGUCAUUACCCUGUAACGGUGACCUGACCAGAACUAUGAGGAAACAGCAGACAGAAUCAAGCUAUCCUACAAAAUAACUGGCUUUCCCUUCCCAGACUUGUGAAGGCUGAAACACAGACCGAGGCAGAAGUCUAAAUGGCAGGGAAUGGCAGAGGUGUGACAACUGAAAAUACAAUUUGUGGUCCUGGGUUGAAUCCUGGAUGAGAAUUAUUAUUUUUUCUUGUUUUCUUAUUUCUCUACUUUUCUUUUCCAUAAGGGAUAUUAUUGGGACAAUUAAUAAUAUUUGAGUAAUAUGUAUAGAGGAGAUAAUAGUAAAUAUUAUUUUCCUGAUUUGAUUAUUUUACUCUAGUUAUGAAACAGAAUGCCCAAAAGUAUACACCAUAGUUUUAGGAGUAAAUGAGCGUUAAUAUAUUUGCAGUUUACUCCCAAAUGACCAAUUACACACACAUUUGAGAAAGAGAAGGACAGAGAAAGAGGAUGUGAUAAAACAUGAACAGCUAUAGAAUCUGGAAGGGUAUCUAUUUUUUUUUCCUACUCAAAAGUUUCCUGUGAAUUUUAAAUCAUUUAAAAAUACAUACAACUAUUCCUAACAGAAAUGUUAGAUCUAACUAGCUGGUGCACCGGGUCCCUAGUCAAGGAGCUGCAACCCCGCCUACAGGUGGGAGGAGCAUCUAUCUGGAUAUGUGUGCGAGGAAAUGCCAGUCAAACAUCCGGCAGUAUUUUUGCAGACAAUAUUUGACAUUUCCAGGACAGUUUUUAAAAUCCGACUUAUUUUGUAAAGACAUCCUACAUCACUAGUAGGAUCCUGACUCAAAAUGUUACUAUGAUAGAAUUCCUUGCUAGCACGAAGGCAAGAGUGACAUCCUAGGGAGGAUUUAAGUAUUUCUCACCUUAAAAUAUCCUCAUUAAUUAUCAGCACCUUCUACCGCCUCUUUAUUACUGUUAUUUAUAUCUCACUGGAAGAAUUUUCGCAAGCAUCCUCCUGUUGCCUUUCAUCACCUCUUUUUGAUAUAUUUUCUUUUCCUCUGCUUUUUUUUCUAAGUUUUUGUGUUUUAUUUUAUGCCGACAGUUUUAUAAGGAAUGGUUCUAAUAGGUACAUGCUAUAAAAUGGAAAUAUUUUACUGGGGUAUUACAUAAAAUACCCAGGAGAAACUAGGAUAUAAAUUAUAUUUUUAUUGUAAGAUUUUACUGCAAAUAAGUUCACAUAUACAAUCUUUUAUUUAUGAUAAGAGCAAAUUCUUUUUACUUAUAGCUGCGUUUGAACUUGGUGCUUCAGUGAGGAAGCUUCUGUGUAGUUACAUAAAAGAAGGUUCUAUUUGGAUGAGAAAUGAAUCUCUUAUUUAGGAAGUGUUGUUUUUCUUGUUGAUUUCCUAAAGUGAGGGAAGGGGGAGACCACUGUGCUGGUGGGUGGGAGGAGGGAGUCAGCCUCUGAUUGCAAAGAUAAAGCUGAGCUCUCCCCUUGGGUUUGCAAAGGGGUGCAUGUGGCCAGCCCCCACACAGGGUCUCCGAGCAGGAGCAGCCCAAAUGAGCCUGAAUCAACGCCACCCAAACCACCCUUUUGUGCCUAUUCCUUCCUUUUCCGUUGGGGAAAAUCCACCCAUGGAAUGGGGCCUCUAAGGAACAACGUUUUCCUGCUCAUAGAAUAAAAUAGGAUUAAAGUACUGUACAGGGGCGUUAUCUAUUUGAUUGAUUAAUUCAUUUAUUUUGUGAUUUGCACAUGCCAGGCAAAUGUACAGCUGAGCUACAUCCUCAGCCCUAGGUUUUUUCUAAGUACUAAAGGCAGAGCUGUGUGUGUCCCUCCCCUGAGAUGUAAGAUCUUCCACAGUUACACUUUCUCACAAGAUGAUGAUGAAUGAUCCCAAAUUUCUUCCUUAAAAAUGCUCUUUGCUUAGCAAUCAUGGAUGCUUCAUUUUUAUAAUUCAUUGAACAUAUAAAGAGCCCUGACCCUUGGGGUCCUAAGUAUUGGGUGCAAAUGUGCGCUUACUCCUCCGGAAACCAGGCAGGUCCUCAGAGCCAUUAUGUAAGGUAGCAUCAUGGUUUUAGUUUCCUCUGACUUGAAUCUGCAGGAAGCAAAUUCUGCCUCUGAACUGAACCCGUCACAUUCUGAACUCACAAACCCCAGGCUGGGUGGACUUGAGAAGAUUUCCCCUCGCCAGUCAUCCUUAGGCAGAAAGCAGGAGCAGCCCUGGUGAAUUCUGUGCUGCUAGGCUCUGCAUGUGAUAGGAGACAUAAAGUGAGGGAAAUUGUAUAGCUUAUCUCUACUUCUUGCUGACUUGCGAUUUUUACCUUGUUUAAUAGGAAAUUAACUGAAAUGUAGGUCUGUCCCUUGAGAGUAGGUAUCCUCAAUUAUGACAGGCCAUGAAAGAUGUGUACCGGAAACUAAAACUCUACAAACAAGACACUUCCUUUUAAUGGUUUAUCCAUAAACAUUUAUUGAGCCCCUUCCUACACAUUUCCAAAGAGUCUCCUCCUCUUGAAAUCUCUUUGCUUUUAAAGGCACAAUAAUUUCUCCUGGUCUCAGCUGGAAUUAAACAACAGAAAUUUCUGAAAUGCAAAAUUUUAGGGUGAGAUUCUUAAGAAAACCAAUGGUAUUUUACUAUAUGGGAUAAUAUAAACAAAAUUUUUUAUAGGCAAAGAGAUAAUAUAGAAACUAUUGUUCGUUUUCUGUUAACUGGUUCUAAAUACCCUGUAAUUUCUUCAUUCUCUUGAAUAGCUUCAGACUGACUUGAUAUGCUUGGUGCUAUAGUAUAUGAAGUUAUACUCAAAUAAUUCAAGGAAGGAGGCACUAUGGUGACUACUAUUAUGUUAGAUUAUCUGGGGGUGAAACACAAUGAUGCUUAAAUUGUUCGGUUCUGACCGGUGUUGUUCUAAUACAAUGUCCUCUUUUACCUCAAUCCCACCCUUUUAAAAAAUUAAUCUAUUUUUCUUACAUUUUUUUUCAAUUAAGGGAAAACUAAAUUAAAAAAUAGCGGAAUAUAUUAUAGUAACUUUUUUGUUUUCCUGUUAACCUGAUAUGAUCCCCACUAUUGCUCUCCCCAUUUUGUUCUGUCAGAUUUUACUAUAUUCUAUUUUGUUUGAUAGUAUCAAAUUUGAGGGUAUAGGCAACCACUUUGAAGGCAGUAAGAUUCACUAAGAUGCCCAUUAUGGUUUGACUAUUAUCUUCUUUUUGAAAUCCUGUAAGGUCUCCAGUGUAGGUUUUAUUGGUUUUGUUCUGUACUGUUUUGAUCAAUUCCAUUAUACCUGACGAUAUAGGCAACUUUUUAAAAAAAUAGCAAGAGGCACAAUGGUAACCAUUUUAGAUCACCUGAUAUUCUAUUUUUCCAUUGUGCACUAUGCCCAUCCUUUUGUUCUAACUGACUCUGUUUUGUUUAGCCACGUUAGUUUUAUUCUCUCCAAAAAAAUAAUAAGAAUUGUGGGAGUAAAAAACCCAAAAAAUGUAAUUGUUAUUAAAAAGAGAGGAAAAGAAGGUGGUCUAAGGGAUAUAACUGCAUGUAUGUUUGAGUGUGUAGGAUGGAAAUCCAUAUUAUUGAACUUUUGUUGGAUCAUUGAUCGGCACUGUCUGCAAUCUCAUUGUAUGAAUGUUCACUUUAUAUGCUUUAAUUUUAUAAUUUGGACAACUAUUUCAAAGAUGACAAUAUGUAACCUAUUAACUAGUGAUAUCUUACUGUAUCUUUUUCCUUGAAAUUCUGUAUUAUUUGUACCCUUUCACUGUUUUUUUAAAAUUUUAUUUCCUUUCUUUUUUUUCUUUCUUUAAAUAAAAAAAUGAAAACCAAUGGUUAAAUGUACUAGAGCUUUAAUUUUCUUUUUGCUGUUCAAUGACUUCCUUUUUUCUUGUUUUUCAUCUCUUCUUUUUCAUUUUUCUUCUCUUUCUUGUUUCCUUUUCCUCUCUUGCCCUCUCUUCUGGCUCUUUUCACUCAGUGCAGUGCUUGUUCAGAGAUUUAUCUUUAAUUGAUUUCUCUGGCAUGGUACUGAGGAGUUAUGGUCUUCAUUUUUUUUUUUUAACACAGAAUUAAAAUUUUGUUUAAGUUUUCUUACAUUUAUCAGUUCAGCCCCAAAGGCAGCUGGCAUUUCUUCUCCUCCCUAUUUACCUUAUUUGUCUGGCUGCUGUCCAGCAGGCCCAAUUCUGUAGCUCAGAUAGGACCUCUGGCUGCCGGGCUUCUCUAGUCAGUCAACACACUCGUGUGGCAGGAUUUCCAGUGGUGGAACAGAGCUGAGCUCACCUUUUAUGAACCAAGUGGUGGUAACCAAUUUACACAUCCUGCACUGGGGGAAAAUCAAUUUCCAAACUGCCACACUUCUGUGUCUCUAACAAAUCGUUGCCUGAGUCCCAUCUAGUCUUUGUCAAACAUGCACAGGUCAUUGCAUUAGGCUGUGAACAGUGCGCAGAUAUGUUUUAAUUAGCACGUGUUUGAAGAACAUAAUGCUUGCAUUCCUUAUGUGGGAUUGGUACAUGUACAUAACACAUUUUAAUUCCUUUUUCUAUCCCUUUCUCUCCUGACUCCAUCCAUCUCUUAAUUCCUUUCCCAUUUGAGAAAGAUUUGUCUCCUACUUAUUGUUAUCUAUCUUUUAUUUGCACUUUAUAAUUUAGGUUUCCUAUUUCACAAUAUUAUGGUCAUGACGUAUGUGCGUUUUCAUACAAAUAAGUUGAUCUUUAUGGCAGGCUGGUAUUCUAUUUUAUGUAAAUACCACAUUUUCUUUUCUUUUUAAAAUUUUAUUUAAGGAGAAAAAAAACAGAAAAAAGGGUACAAGUUAUACAGAAUUCCAGAAAAAAUAAACAGUAGGAAAUCACUAGUUAAUUACAUAUUGUCAUCUUAGAAAUAGUUGUUGAAGUUACAAAAUUAAAGCAUAUAGAGGGGACUUUCAAACAGUGAGACUGCAAACAGUUUUGUUCAAUGAUCCAAUAAAACUCAGUAAUAUGGUUAUCUAUCUUAUACACUUAAAUAUAUAUGCAGUUAUAUCUUUUAGAGAAUUUUCUUUUCCUUUCUUUUGUACAAUGACAAUUACAAAUUUGGGUUUCAUUACUCCCACAGUUCUUAUUACUUUUUUUUUUAAGAAAGUAAAACCAAAUGUGACACACCAGGACAGAGUCAGUCAAAUCAAAAGGAUGGACAUAAUACAUAAUGUAAAAACAAAAUACAAGGUGAUCCACAAUGGUUACCAUAAUGCCUCUUGUUAUCUUAAAAAGAAUUGCCUAUAUCAUCAGUUAUAAUAAAAUUGAACAAAACAGUAAAGAAUAAGACCAAUAAAACCAAAACAUUGGAGACAUUAGAGGACUUCAAAAGAAGAUAAUAGUCAACCAGAAUGGGCGUCACAAUGAAUCUUAUUGUCUUCAUAGUUGUUGCCUCUACUUUCAAACUUGGUACUAUCAAGCAUAACAGAAUAGAGGAAAAUCAGUCAAAACAAGAUGGUGAGAGCAAUACAGAGUUUCAAAUCAAGUUAAUAGGAAAUCAAAGUGGAUUACUAUAAUAUAUCCUGCUAUUUUUUAUUUAUUUUUCCCUUAAUUAAAAGGAUAAAAAUGAAAAAGUAGAUAAUAAAAAGGAGAUUGAGAUAAAAAAGAGGGCAUAGCAACAAAACAGCGCAGGUCAAAACGUAGCCAUUUAAGCAGAAUAGUGUUUCACCACAAGAAAAUCUCGACAUAAUAGUAGUUACCAUAUUGUCUCUUCCCUUAAAAUCUUUGGGAAUACCACAUUUUCUUUAUCUAUUCAUCUGUUGAUGAACAUAUAGAUUGCUUCCAAGAUUUAACUAGUCUGAGUUGCGGUGCUAAACACAGAUAUGCAUGUAUCACUGUAAUACGAUGUAUUUUAUUCUUUAGGGAAGAUGCCUAAAAAGGGAAUCGUUAGGUUAAAUGGAAUUUUUAGGUAUAGUUUUUUAAAAACUAAAUCAGAGUUUCCAGAAUGAUUUUAUUUUUACAUUCUGCUUUUUCAUUUUAUAUCUCAUGUUAUAAAUCAGUCUUACUGCCAUAUAACUGUAUUGUUUCUCACAAUUAUUGAGUACCUACUGUGUGUCAGCUACUAUGAAAAAGGGCAUGUGACAGAUGAGAUAUGUUACACAGCUGGGAUCAAGAAGACUAGGGUUUAAUUCUGGGCUUGUCCACUCUCUUUCUUACUUAACUUGGAUCAAGUUACUUAACUUCUCUGAACCUUAAUUUCCAUCUGUUACACUGAGAAUAACAACAAAAUGCAUUCUUAGAGUUGUAAACUUUUGUUGAAAUACAGAUUUCAAAUGCGAAAUAGUAUAGUGGUUAGAAUAUACCAAGCAUGAAGACACACAUAGGAUUGGCUAUGAUGAUGUGACAUCAAGGAAUUUAAUGUAUGCAAUAAGAAAUGACAGGAGCUGCGACAAAUGUCUCACAGCUUCACUGGAAGCACUAAGAAAAAUAUUGUCAGUUCCAUCCUGAAAUAGAGGUUGGAAAAGCAAGAAAAUCUUCACAGAGGGCAAAAAAGCAGCUCAGUUUUGAAGGCAAACUGGUGCUUAUCAAACAGAUAAGGUCCCACUCAUACACAGAUGUACAAAUGAAGUUAACGUUUUUAGACUGUGAAAAGUCCAGGGCUUUAACAAGUAGAGACAGAGGGAGGAAAUUCCAGGGAGGUGCUACAGCUCAAGCAAGUCACUGAGUCAUGGAUUUUAUUUAAAGAGUGGGUGGGUUCCUAACUGAUUUAGUUCAGGGGAAAUGAGUCCUCCAGUGGGGCCAUUCAAGGGACCUUAGAGAUGCAGGUGGGGAAGUGCACUGAAGAGGUAGGGACACCCUAAGGCAGCGUAGGGGGAGGGAGUGGGUGUCUGGGUGUGGGGAGGUGAUGGGAGUAUCGUGCUCAUAAGACCUCUCUUUGCAGCAUGGAGCUGGGGUUGGAGACGACAAAGGUAGAAACAGGGACAAAUCUAGUGCAGUUUUCCAGACCAGAUGGACCAGGGCUUGAGCUCAUUGGGUGUGACAUUCUGCAGAUUGAACCAUGUUAAAAUCUCAGUACAGUGUGAUACAGUGUGAACAACUUCAUGUUCAUGGGCACUUCAUUAUAAACUUCUAUGUCCUGAAUAUUGCUGUGGUUUGCAUCUUUAUAUACAGAUAUUUUCAUUAAGAUUAAGGGUAGAAGCAUCUACAUGACUCUAGAUAAUUAUAGGCAAAUAGUUCCAAGUGGGUUUUCCACAAUAUAUUUUCACCAGGGCACAUUAGGUCCUGGAUUUCUUGACACCAGAGGUCAUACAGGACUGACUUUUUUUCUUAUGCCAGAAGACACAAGAAAAUUUUAAUUUGCCAUUCCAUGAUAUCUAGAUAAAUAAAGUGGUUUCCCCAUUUGUCUUCUAAUUAUGUGUCUUCACUUGUGAAUGAAUUGCAUAUCCUGUCCUUUGCCCAUUUGAUAAGCAAUCGUGUUAAAUCCUGUUUUGGCUGGCCUCUCUCUGGCAACUCUCCACAUGACUAUUUCCCAUAGGCUAGCUUUCUCAUUUCUUUCCUCUCUGAUCUAUUGUAACUGAAUUCUUUUUUUUAUUCAAUAUCUAAUAGAUGUAACAGUUCUAAUUGCCAUAUUGAUUCAUGGUCACUACAGUUGUGGGCGUGUUAAGAGAACAGGGUUUUGCUGUAAGAGACCUAGCUUUUGAAAGCUGGCUUCACACUCUUUAGAUGUCUGAUAUGGGGCAAGCAUCUUAAGCAUUGUGAACUGGUCUUAUUUGUAAAUUGGGAAUUGUAAUUCAUGGUAGUGUCAAGCGGGAAUUGUAUUUGACUAUGAGAGAUCUAAAUACAGUAGCUUCAAACAA
This is a long non-coding RNA of Cavia porcellus (domestic guinea pig), 9144 nucleotides long. RefSeq lists it as uncharacterized. The record is from RefSeq and is a predicted model, not a curated record. NCBI's taxonomy places the organism in Eukaryota, Metazoa, Chordata, Mammalia, Rodentia, Caviidae. The transcript is spliced from 2 exons.